GAUGAACGCUAGCGGCAGGCCUAACACAUGCAAGUCGAGGGGUAACAGGGAAAAGCUUGCUUUUCCGCUGACGACCGGCGCACGGGUGAGUAACGCGUAUGCAACCAACCUUUUACAGGAGUAUAGCCCAGAGAAAUUUGGAUUAAUCCUCUAUAAUAUCUUAUUCAUGCAUAUGAAAAAGAUUAAAGCUUCGGUGGUAAAAGAUGGGCAUGCGUUUUAUUAGCUAGUAGGUGAGGUAACGGCUCACCUAGGCCACGAUAAAUAGGGGCCCUGAGAGGGGGACCCCCCACACUGGUACUGAGACACGGACCAGACUCCUACGGGAGGCAGCAGUGAGGAAUAUUGGACAAUGGACGAAAGUCUGAUCCAGCCAUGCCGCGUGCAGGAUGACGGCCCUAUGGGUUGUAAACUGCUUUUAUACAGGAAGAAACACUCCCACGUGUGGGGGCUUGACGGUACUGUACGAGUAAGGAUCGGCUAACUCCGUGCCAGCAGCCGCGGUAAUACGGAGGAUCCAAGCGUUAUCCGGAAUUAUUGGGUUUAAAGGGUCCGCAGGCGGUCUAUUAAGUCAGAGGUGAAAUCUUGCAGCUCAACUGUAAAAUUGCCUUUGAUACUGGUAGACUUGAGUCAUUGUGAAGUGGUUAGAAUGUGUGGUGUAGCGGUGAAAUGCAUAGAUAUCACACAGAAUACCAAUUGGGAAGGCAGAUCACUAACAAUGUACUGACGCUCAUGGACGAAAGCGUGGGGAGCGAACAGGAUUAGAUACCCUGGUAGUCCAUGCAGUAAACUAUGAUUACUCGCUAUUGGCGAUACACUGUCAGUGGCUAAGCGAAAGUGAUAAGUAAUCCACCUGGGGAGUACGAUCGCAAGGUUG
This 874-nucleotide ribosomal RNA is filed under the name uncultured marine bacterium. Its description in RNAcentral is "bacterial SSU rRNA". It matches the Rfam family "Bacterial small subunit ribosomal RNA", at positions 28 to 896 of the family's 1533-position model. The record is from RNAcentral.